UGGGGAAUAUUGCACAAUGGGCGGAAGCCUGAUGCAGCGACGCCGCGCGGGGGAUGAAGUCCUUCGGGUUGUAUACUCCUUUCGACAGGGACGAAGCUUUUGUGACGGUACCUGUAUAAGAAGCACCGGCUACCUACGUUCUAGCAGCCGCGGUAAUACGUAGGGUGCGAGCGUUGUCCGGAAUUACUGGGCGUAAAGAGCUCGUAGGUGGUUUGUCGCGUCGUCCGUGAAAUUCCGGGGCUUAACUCCGGGCGUGCAGGCGAUACGGGCUGACUUGAGUGCUGUAGGGGAGACUGGAAUUCCUGGUGUAGCGGUGAAGUGCGCAGAUAUCAGGAGGAACACCGAUGGCGAAGGCAGGUCUCUGGGCAGUAACAGACGCUGAGGAGCGAAAGCAUGGGUAGCGAACAGG
Molecule: ribosomal RNA, 409 nt
Filed under: Actinomycetes bacterium
Lineage: Bacteria; Bacillati; Actinomycetota; Actinomycetes
Description: Actinobacteria bacterium partial 16S ribosomal RNA
Rfam family: Bacterial small subunit ribosomal RNA
Source: RNAcentral